CCGUUUAGACACACCGAAGCUCUGCCGAUUUUCUGUUCAAGCUUUUGCUUAGUUUUCUUUUUCCAGCAGAAUUAAUAUUGUUUAUUUUAUUUAUUUCUUUUGCAAGUUUUAUUUUCUUUUUCCCUUGCAAUUUAUCUUCCCCGUUUUUAGCUUUUAGAUAUUUUUCGCGUAGUAGUUUCUACACCGGAAACUACUGUGCAACUUUAUACCGGAUUUAACCUUACGUUAUAUUCGAGUUUUUUUUAUUUCCUUGAUUUAAUUUACUGUUUAAUUGAAGAAUCGAAGAACAAAUCCUACCGGCUUGUGG
Molecule: long non-coding RNA, 307 nt
Filed under: Lathyrus oleraceus (garden pea)
Lineage: Eukaryota; Viridiplantae; Streptophyta; Magnoliopsida; Fabales; Fabaceae
Description: Pisum sativum (pea) long non-coding RNA (PSAT_LNC034086)
Source: RNAcentral